Molecule: ribosomal RNA, 256 nt
Filed under: uncultured bacterium
Lineage: Bacteria
Description: partial 16S ribosomal RNA
Rfam family: Bacterial small subunit ribosomal RNA
Source: RNAcentral
UACGAAGGGGGCGAGCGUUAUUCGGAAUCACUGGGCGUAAAGCGUGCGUAGGCUGUUCUGCAAGUCAGGAAUGAAAGCCCAAAGGCUCAACCUUGGAAGCGCUUUUGAAAACUGCAGGACUAGAAUUUGGGAGAGGAUAGCGGAAUUGUCAGUGUAGCAGUGAAAUGCGUAGAUAUUGACAGGAACACCAGUGGCGCAAGCGGCUAUCUGGACCAACAUUGACGCUGAGGCACGAAAGCGUGGGGGAGCAAACAGG